RNAcentral lists this ribosomal RNA (620 nucleotides) under uncultured bacterium. Its description in RNAcentral is "bacterial SSU rRNA". It matches the Rfam family "Bacterial small subunit ribosomal RNA", at positions 338 to 950 of the family's 1533-position model. The record is from RNAcentral.
CCUACGGGAGGCAGCAGUGGGGAAUUUUGGACAAUGGGCGCAAGCCUGAUCCAGCAAUGUCGCGUGCAGGAUGAAGGCCUUCGGGUUGUAAACUGCUUUUGUACGGAACGAAACGGCUUCUCCUAAUACGAGAGGCUAAUGACGGUACCGUAAGAAUAAGCACCGGCUAACUACGUGCCAGCAGCCGCGGUAAUACGUAGGGUGCAAGCGUUAAUCGGAAUUACUGGGCGUAAAGCGUGCGCAGGCGGUUAUAUAAGACAGAUGUGAAAUCCCCGGGCUCAACCUGGGACCUGCAUUUGUGACUGUAUAGCUAGAGUACGGUAGAGGGGGAUGGAAUUCCGCGUGUAGCAGUGAAAUGCGUAGAUAUGCGGAGGAACACCGAUGGCGAAGGCAAUCCCCUGGACCUGUACUGACGCUCAUGCACGAAAGCGUGGGGAGCAAACAGGAUUAGAUACCCUGGUAGUCCACGCCCUAAACGAUGUCAACUGGUUGUUGGGUCUUCACUGACUCAGUAACGAAGCUAACGCGUGAAGUUGACCGCCUGGGGAGUACGGCCGCGAAGGUUGAAACUCAAAGGAAUUGACGGCUGAGAGNGCGACGACGACGACGAGGGGAGGAGG